GACGACUUUCAGGAGUGGGUUCUUUCCUUCUAGGCUGUGGAUUCCAGGAAUUGAACUCAGUCUUGGCAGCAAGCACCUUUAACCAUUAAGCCAUCUCCACAGCCCCAGACACAAGCUCUUAAAGAUGAGAAUUUGGAUCUUAUUCUCUGAAUCUGACUGAAUUCGAACGAAUCACCAGGUCACUGAACCUGUAAUGGCCCCUGAAGGGAUACUUCACCAAGGCAGCUGGUCAGCCUGGAACCUACAGUCACCGCCUCUUUCUAAUUCAAGUCACAGCAGGUCCUGGCAGUGCCACACACACCAAAAGAACCUUGAGAGUUUGUCUGUCUGUAAAAUCUUUGGAACGCAUUCUUCUCAGACCACUAUCUUCCAACAACUGCAAAGCUGAGAAUGUGAAGAGACGCCAUCUGAGAUCCACGGCAGAGAUCUCCCUGCUCUGGUGACGGUUCCCACAAGGUAUUGGGAAGGUGCUUUGGACUGUGGCUUCCUUCUGCUCUGUGACUAAGAAAACUUCAUGGGGCUGAUUCCAUGGCGAAGUUUGUUACUCAAGGUACCUAGACUCUGUCCCUCGGCCAUGACGAUCACAUUUGGCUCAGAAUAAAUGUUUCUGCUUUUAGGUG
RNAcentral lists this long non-coding RNA (620 nucleotides) under Rattus norvegicus (Norway rat). Its description in RNAcentral is "long non-coding RNA NONRATT028482". Lineage: Eukaryota; Metazoa; Chordata; Mammalia; Rodentia; Muridae. The record is from RNAcentral.